UACGCGGGCAACUAACUAGUCAAAUUUUAUAUGUGUAACACCAAAACCAAACAUCUCUUUUUUGUUCCAGCAAGCCUCCUCGCAUCUUAUAGAAAACAGAAGAAAACCAAGCAUCUCUAUUUGUUCCAUCGUCCGAACCCAAUGCCUCGAAAAGCCUUAAACCCCGACCACAGCCUGUCCGAGUCACCCGACCGUUUUCCAUCUUCACUCCCAACCGUUUCAUUCCCACCUAACUUACUUUUUCCGAUUUCGACUCGAUUCGUCAUUCCAAACAGGACACCGAAUGCACGAUCGAUCCCACAAGCCGCAGCCGCCGGAGGCUGGCGAGGGCGCCGGCGGCGGGAACGUGGAUCGAGUGCUCUUCAAGAACCUCGUCGAGAUGGUGCCGCUCGUCGAGUCGCUCAUGGUGAGUUAGCCGGCGCCGCGCGCAGAUCUCACUGGCGCGCUCCUGCUGAGCUCGUGUCGGUGCGCUGCCUGACUGUUGUUCUGUGUUGGUUCUUCCUGGGUGCAGGACCGGAGGGUCAACUCGGCCUACUCGCGACGCACUUCGCUAGUCUACACGCCGGCGCCGCCCAAGAAGGUUUGUUACCGCCUUCUAUCUUCCCUAAUUUACCCCUAUAUCUUUCUAUCUGUUCCUUUGCUAGUUUGUGGAUUUUAUUCUUUCAUCGGUUGCUUACGUUCCAAUCUACAGUUCUACACUUUUCCUGUUUUUAAUUGCGGAUUCUCUUAAGCUGUCUGUCUCCGAUGUCAUAUACGAUUGAUAACAAAAAAAAAAAAAAAGGUGCAACCUAAGGCUGAUUUCCCUCUUUCAGAUUAGACCACCUCACAACGACAGUUUCCCUAGAUCUUGUAAGCAUCUCAGCUUUCACAUAUUUUGUAGCCUACUGUUGAGGAAUGGCAGCUGAGUCUUCAGUGUAUGUAAUUCUUUUGUCAAACUACCAUGACAAUUGCUCUUUGGAUUUGGUAGUGAUGAACCUGAGGAUGGAUGCUUCGUUCUUACAGGCGAGCGAAUUGGAAAGUGUCAAAUUGCCACAGAGCGUAUCGGCCAAAAAGCGGAGAGACCCUGGCGAUGUAUCCAAGAAGAGCACCCCUGAUUCUAACGGCGACAACGGCUUGGUUGUGCCAUUGUCUCUAUCGGGUGCUGAAAAUAAGCCCAAGGAUGAUGUUGCUGGGCUGCGCGAGCAGGUCGAUUACCUGCAAAAGAAACUGCUCGAGAAGGAGGAGGCGCUGAGGUCCGCGGAGAGCCUCGUGACUGAGAUGAACGCGGCAUAUGCAACCAUCGAUGAACUCCGACGCCUGGUGUCUGACAAAGAAGCUUUGAUCAGAUCUACCAAUUCUCAGUUGCAUGAUGCAAAGGUGAAAUGCUGCCGAUUAUGAUUCAUUACUAUUCUGAAUUAACAGGCGUGCUUAUACCCAUAAAAUCUGUCUAACUUCGAUAUUUUCCUUGCAACUCUGACAUGAAAAGCCAUGAGAUAACAAACUACACUUACCAUCAAAGUUGUCACACUGUGAAACCGUGAAUGAAAAAACCAUGUUCUUUGCAACUGUGUACAAGUAAAUAUGUAUAUAUUAAACACAGUUACAAACUUAAGUGCAAAUGUAAUGUUCCUGUACGCAAAAUCAGAGUUCCUAGAAACUGGCGACUACUUCUAUCAUGAAACUUGACAAAGUUCUUGCUUAUAUUUGUGAUGAGAAAUGUUUUUGUUCCAUAAGAAUUGCCCAAGUAAACCUAUACUGUUAUUAAACCAUAUAAUCAGCCUAGCUUGUAAGUCUAGUUUGAUGUAAUGCAUAAGCUACUUUUACCUUGUAAUCGGCCUUCUAAAGGCGACUACUGAGAACAAUGGUUAGAAAGUCUGUCACAAUGAUUCAUGCACAAAGUCAUAGCUGUUACAUUGUUGACUGAUUGUUUAAUGUCGUUACAAAGAGUUUAUGAAAGUUUCUCAUCCUUAUUUUGAGGCUACUGCAAAUUAGCUUUGCUUGCUGUCUUGUACUGGAUUGAAUCAACAUUUGUGCAAUUCCAGCUUACCCUUUGGUUCAUACAUACUGUUGCUUUUGCGUAUAUAAAUGGUUAUACAUAUUUCCUCUUCAGAUGAUUCACUUAUACUGAGUUUUCUACUUACACAUGUUAUACUAUUUUUUAUUUUUUGGGUAAGGUAAGGAUGCUAAAAUUAAAUGAUUGUUGAUUUUAGUGACGGGAGUAUAUUUUAUUUUGGACCUGACAUUUUCUUUUUCUUCCUACAGAUUAUGCUUGCAGACAAGCAAGCAUCUGUAGAGAAACUGGAAUGGGAGGUAAAGAUGUCAAAUAAAAAGGUCGAAGAUCUUCAAGGAGAUGUGUCAAAUAUGGGAUUCGAGAUAAGCUCGUUGAUGGCAUUUUUCGAUAAAAUUUCAGAGAAUCUUUCAGGUGACUCUUAUGAUGACACAGUACCAUCAUCAUAUGAAUUAGAGGCAAUUCAAUCAACGGUGAGCAUGCAUCCUUGGAGCAACGUUUGGCCUGUUUGAACCAUUAAAUGUAUAACUAAAGCUAGUGACUGAGUGCAAAUUAAUGUUAUGGCGUUUUAAGUGGUCUAAUUAGCUUGCCAUUCCAGAGAACCAACUUUCUUGUCAUAGAAUUGCAUUGUCUAAAAUGUUUGCUACAUUAUCUAAAUUGUCAAAUAAACAGUCUGGGGGUUUGUAUCUGUGGUUGAUUGCUAUGCGCUGAUACUCCUUACUACAUAACAAUAUGAGGUUCUUUGGAAUUUGGGAAGAAAUUGUUUACAAGGGUUAAUCAAUUGGAAGUAAUGUUUUGAUGCUACACAGGGAGUUUGUAUUAUGAUUCAGUAUACAUUACAAUCGGAUAUUGUUUUUCUCUUGCAAUGUUAGUAUGGAUGCCGAAAUGGAAAUAUUUAUGCAAAGAAAAUUGGUUAGAUGCUUUGCACUAAAUUUGACUAUGUCAAACUAAUAGCUAUGCAUCAAAACAUUGACUCAGAGUGAAAUUGACAAGAUCGAGGUCGACAAAAUAGAGCAGGAGAGGAUUACCUAUGGUGAAGCUCUCGCGGCAGCGAGAGAGAACCCUGACGAGGAGCACUUGAAUAUAGCUGCCGAGGCAAGGUCAAGGCUGCAGGUCCUUGUACUAUAGUGGUGGCCCCCUUCUAAUUCUAGUGUAUGUAUGAUAAUGUUGAACUGCUGAUGUAAUUUUACCUUGUUGGCUUGAGUUGAGGCGCUUGUGAAAUCGUUCCAGGGGUAAUGGAACGAGCACUGUAUCUUUUUUUUUUCCUGAGGUCUGCAUUUUUUAUCAUGAAGCUUGAGCUAUAGUUAGAUUUUUUGUGACGGUUAUCAUCUCAAGAUUUAAACCUAUGGUUGGAACUGCUUAUGUAAAUUGUUCUUGAGCCUAAGGUAUAGGCAAUAGCUUUUUAACAGUGUAUAAUGGGGUCUGUUUGGUAUAGUUUUGAAGCUACGUAUGGGCAUGGCUAAAGUAAGCUGAAAUUAGAAGUCAAUCUCUAGGUUUCUUUUGUAGUUUUUUUCCAACCACGUUUCUCACCACGACUUUCAUUUAGAAACGUAGAAAUUGGAUCAGACUAGCUUAGUUUUCCAUUUAUACUAAAGCAUAGUGUCAUGGAUCAAGGGGUGAAUCAGUAAGGAAAUAGUAAGAUUUAGUAUGGUUCUUUGUUUCCUUUGCAAAGUAGUUACUUUGAAUCAAUCGAUUUGUGGAUUUACAUUCUGGUUGUGGAUGAGAGGACCAUUUUGUCCAGGUGUGUGGAAGAAAAUGGUAGGGCCCUAGCGAGGAUGAAACUGGAAGCUAUGGCGAGGGAGAUGGAGACCUUUGGGGAUGGACCUGUGUUGUCUGGAAAUGAGGAGAGAAGAGGUGGAAGUCUCAACCGUGAUUCGGGAGGAACGAGAGGGGAAACCUCGGGAGGAGAAUUUGUAAAUCAUGGUCAGGGAGGAGGAAGGGAUUCUCAACAGCAUCUUCCGAAGUUUGUGUUCCCUAAAUUCAUUGGUGAGGAUCCUGCGAUUUGGUUACAUAGAUGCGAAGACUAUUUUACUAUGUAUCAUGUCCUUGGCUGCAUGAGAGUUGUCUCUGCCACUAUGCAUAUGGAAGGGAAUGCCUCACGAUGGAUGUAGAUUUUGAAGUUGAAGGGUGAUCUGGGAGAUUGGAACUACUUUUCCAAAUUGGUGUUGGACAAAUUUGGAAUUGAUGAAUACCCUCGAGCGAUGAGGAAGCUGCAUCAGAGAAGUAGUGUGGAGGAGUAUAUUUAGGGCUUGUUCGGUUAUUCCCAAAACACAUGGAUUGGAUAGGAUUGGAAAAAAAUGAGAAGAGGUUUGACUUGUUUGGGUUUCAAACCCAUCCAAUCCCACUCAAUCCACAUGGAUUGAGAGCUAACCGAACAAGCCCUUAGGAGUUUGAUCAAGUUAGAUAUGCUACUUCGGUGCACAACCCACAGUUAGGAGAAGUCUUCUUUGUUGCUUAGUUUAUGAAGGGGUUGAAGACUGAGAUUCAAGGGCCUAUAAUGUCACAGCUUCCUAUGACUGUAGACAGGGCUAUCAGAUAUGGGCUAAGGGUGGAAGAGUUGGGAAGGUAGGAUUAGGGAACAAAGGAAUAACCGGGGGUAAGGUAGAACCGAAGGUAGUAGUGGAACAAGGUUGUUGGAGUAAGGAGAGGUAGGUAAAGGAGUAUAGGAGGUUGAAUGGGUUAUGUUAUAUUUGUGGGGAGAAGUUUGAACCAGGGCAUCAAGCUAGUGUCCUAAGAGGGUGCCUCAACAGUUGAAUGUGCUUACCACUGAAGACUUGGAGAUGGUUCUGACUGAUGACAUGUUGGGACAGAUAUCAGAAGCGGAAGUUCAUGAGGAACAUGAGGAAGAGCUUUAUAAGCUGUCCUUACAUGCAUUGAGUGGGGCAGAAAAUUCUAAAUGUAUAAGGUAUGGACCUCUGAUUCAAGACAAUGUAAUGCUAGUGUUGGUGGAUUUAGGCAGUACUACCAGCUUUAUCAGUCAGAGUAUGGUGGAUAAUUUGAAACUGGAAACUGAACCUUGUGAAGCAGUGUUAGUUAAGAUCUCCGGUUCCCUCGACCCAUCGGUCAACGAGCGCACUAGGGAAAAGCCUCUAGCAACUGGGGCCAUCGAUCAGCAGGAGGAGAAAGGAAACGUAUUCCCUGGAAGGACCCGCCCCCGGAUGAACCCCACGGCACCAAGCCCGGGGUCGGGCGUGGCGGAGCUAGAUAGAGGGCUGGGCAAACCGAAGGGAAACCACUCGAGUGGAUCCCUUGCCCGGCCCAAGAUCAACCUGCCAUAUAUGAUUAGCCACAUUAACUACGCCUGGCGUCGAGCCACGGCAGAGGCACCGGUCCGCCUCCCACUCAUGGCCUACGAGCCCCUCCGGCUGCAAUGCACCCAUAACCUACGAACCCUUUGGACUGCGGCACAUUUAUGGCUCGUGCACCCCUGGCCUGCUGCACACUUAUGAUCUAUCGGGACUAGGCCUGAGUGCGUUAACCGCCUAAAGGGCACAACUAUACAAGUCGUGUCGAGGCCUUGGCUACCAAGGCCAGGGAUCAGCAUAGCUCGAAUGAUGGCGCUCGAGCCCCACGCUGCAUGUGUCGUCCUCUAUAAAGAAUAUAAGAUAGCCAUGCGACCCUGAGGCUCACGGUCGGACGUGGCUUCGCCAGGGUAGAACGCUCAGUUUUACCAUCGCCCGGGGACACCUUCUUAAGGAAGCCACCCCUGGCUGACCCCCUCCUUGGCCUAUAAAACGAAGAGGUUGGUCAGACGGAGGGACAAACACACACACAAACAGGGAUGCCCAGAUGUAAAGACGACAGACCGACGGGGGAUGGAGGACGCACCGACGAGGAUCUAGAGGCCGGAGCCCCACCACUAAGCCAAGACUUAGUUAGGACUCAACUCUGUAGCCCUUAUGAUGAAGACAUCCACACUACUGAUACAUCUAUGCCAAUACAAGUACCAAUUUCUGGUCCCAUUACUCGCGCUCGUGCUCGUCAACUCAACCAUCAGGUGAUUACACUCUUGAGUUCAUGUCCAACAUAUUUAGACCAUGGAGACCCGUGCACUCUUGUUUUGCUUAGGAACUAGGGAGAAGACCGAAAGGGAAAAUGAUUUGAACAUGCUGGAUUCGGACUGCAGAAGAACACCAACUUGUAACGGUCACCACGGUCACAUGCGGGCUCGGAUUGGAAUGUUCAAGCACAACAUGGAAAGCUUAUCAAGUCUACUUUCAUAUGGAUCCGUAAUUAUAGUCAUAUCUGUUCUGAGGCCGGCAUAAUCAUUGUUUCCUUACCGAGACAUUUCCUGCCUUUUCUGCCCAUGGUGCUAUGUCACCCUAUUUUGGCCCAAUGGGUCGUGUAUCAAGUUGGGUCCAUUAGGGACGCAUCCUAGGGUUGCAGCAUGACCCCAAUACCCUUGUGGUCGUCCUCCCAUAUUUAUAAACCCCCUAGCCGCCACCAAGAACAGCGGGUUUUGUUUAGACCAAGUUUAGCUCUCGCUACUUGCUUGUAAGCGCGCGUGCUGGUUCAGCCGCCCGUCUUCUUGUCUUCGGAACCCCACCAUAUUGGAAUUUGAUUGUUAAACCUACAUUUACAUCUGGUAAUUCAGUACUUGUUCUACUUGUUCUUGCUAGUUCUUCGAUUGCUUACAGGACAAGUGCCCUAGUGGCCACGGUGUCACGCUCCACAAGAUCGUGACAGCCAUAGGAGGUGGUGUAUCGGUUGCUAAGGCGCAGCGUCUUUGGAAGGCUGUAGUCGGGUCGUGAAUGUCGUCUCCUCCACCAAUCGAGUUAUCCCACACCCUUUCAUCGAAAGAUCGGGCAUUCACCCAACGGGUGCACAUCAAUUGGUAAUCAGAGCAAGGUUUAUCGGUGAGAGAUUUACUUUUCUUCGCUAUUUUCUUAUCUUCUAUAGUCCAGAAAAAGCCAAAAAAAUAGUAGAUUAGUUUUACCGCAGUCCUAUAUAUCAUUGAGCCUUUACUAGUACUACUUAGCUAGGGCUUGUUGAGUUUUUGGUUGUAUCAGUUGUGUCGUGUUGCUGGUCUUAGUUUAUUCCUUUAGAGUUUUGAGUUCUACCACGUUUUGGUCACCACGAGAUCCACCAUCACCAUAAACAUCUCUGGCUCAUUUUUGCCACCACGGAUACAUCUCAUGUCGGAUUUGGAAGUUUAAAUACAAUCUGGAAAGCUUAUCUUAUCUUCUUUCCAACGGAUCUGACGUUGCCUCAAAAUUCAUUCUGAGCGCUCCGCAAUCAUCAUAGAGAUUUCUGGACUUUCUAUAUUAACAAGAUUUGUUAAAUUUGAUUUAAAGGGGUUGUUAGCAAUAUCCUUAUUGUUUGGGUUGUCAUAGUAAAAAAGGGUUUAGGCCCCUGCAAAAAAAAGAAGAAUAAAAAAAAGAAAAGAAAAGAAAAAAGGAAAAGAAGAAGAAAGAAGGGGGCUGAAUCUCUAAAUCCGUUGUUUCUCUUUGUGCUGUGCUAGUUGUUCUUUUUCAGUGACUACCUUUGUGCCUAGGCUCACGUCUCUAGCAUGGUUUAGCCUAGGACCAGCACAGUACCACCGUUGAACGAUUAUUCAGCUUGCUUUUGUAACUAACGUGGUACUAGUGUAUUCCUUGCUUCAGCCCACCUACAACUCUACAUAUUUCGACUACAGUUUGACAUGUCGUGUUGCUGCGGUACCGAUACACUUAUUCCACGGUUGCGGACUUGUUGGUUGCUGACCCCUCCUGUUGAGCAAGGUAAGAAUUGGUAAGAGCUUGUGUGGCAGGUUGAGAGUGAGCGCCUUGCGGUAGCUACAUCCUAAUAGUUGUAGAGUUUUUAUUCCUUCACUUUUUUAUCUUGUUGCCUCUAUUCGUCUAACCAUGGCAGGAUUGGAGGUUGAUGAUGCUUCUCGUAAUAUGCCACACUCUCCUCGCACCAAGGGUAUCAUACAACACUUUGUAAGGCUGGUGAAGAAUGAAAGGGAAAUAGGCUUACACCUUUUCCUAUAUGAAUUUUGGUGGUUGAAUUGCCCAACACAAAUUAAUUGGACUAACUAGUUUGCUCUAGAUUAUGAGUUCUACAGGUGCCAAAGGUUCAACACAAACCAAUAAAAGUCCAAGAAAGGGUUCAAAUAAAAAGAGCAAAAGACAACCAAAGGCUGCCCUAGUCUGGCGCACCGGACAGUGUCCGGUGCACCAGAGAGUUCCACUCCGAACUUGCCACCUUCGGGAAUUCGGGGAGGCCGCUUCGCUAUAAUUCACUGGACUGUCCGGUGUAGCAACGGACUGUCCGGUGUGCCAAGCGGAGCAACAGUCGUCUGCAACGCUACAGUGAAACGCUACAGUGUUGGGCAAUUCACCGGACUGUCCAGUGAAACGCUACAGUGAACGCUAUAGACAGUGAAUAGUGACUGUCCGGUGCACCACCGGACUGUCCGGUGGCCCCGUUGUCAGAAGCUCCAACGGUCGGAACCCAACGCCCUAGUGACGUGGCUGGCGCACCGGACAAUGUCUGGUGCGCCAUACGACAGAGGCCCUCACCAACAGUUCUUUUGGUGGUUGGGGCUAUAAAUACCCCCAACCACCACACUUCAAUGCAUCCAAGUUUUCAGCCUUCAAACCUCAUACAAGAGCUCUAGACUUCAUUCCAAGACACAAACAAAGAGAUCAAAUCCCCUCCCAAGUCCGGAAUCACUCCAAACAAAUUAGUGAUUAGAGAGAGACUUUUGUGUUCUUUUGAGGGGAGAAUUGGCUGUGUACCAUUAGAAGAACACAUGUUUGGCAAUGUACCAUUAAAAGAUUUCUUCUUUGCUUUGUACCACUGAAAGGUUACAACGUUGAAGGUUUAUAGCAUUUCGUCACCUUCGUUAGGGAAUACUAACGGUUUUAUUUUUCUUUGCCUAAAAAUGAGUUAUGAAAUGGCUCUUUUGCCCCUUGCCUUAGUAAACUAGUAAGCCUGCUCGUUCUCAACCUCACGUACGCUCCCAGCCCAGGAGUCCGCUCCUCCCAGGCACAAGCAAAGCAGCCGCUCGCGGAGCUUCCCGGCGACCCUCCCGACAGUGUGCUCUCUGCUAGUGGCUCCAGCUCCUUCGCCCUCUCCUUCACUCCAUGGUGAGCACCCCUCUCAUCUCCCCUCCCCUCCCUUUCCUCUCCCAUACUGUAAGUUCAUAUUCUAACCCUAAUUUUUGGAGAAUUUUUUGUAGUGCUCAUUAAUCUGAAAUUGGUUGGGGAUUUGAGCUGGGAUGGAUCCUGCUUGUGUUUCAGAAGGGUAAUCUCCUCUCGCAUUCUAAAAAUUGUUCUAAUUUUUUUGGUAUUUUCAUGUACGAGUACAAGCUUAUGGUUGUCUGAAGUGAAUUAAUGGGAUCUAUCUUGUUGAUUGGUCCUUAAAAUUUUUUCUUUGUUCCGUUUGUGUUCGGUCUCUAUUUCAGGGAUAAUUCAAAGAACCUGCAUAAAAUAGAUGUUACCGUCAACUCUUAUUUCGCCGUUCUUGAUGGUAAAAAGGUGUACAAUCGGGACAGAACAAUAAAUUUGGUUGUGAAUCCAGAACACUAUACACUUAUUGAUUUAGAGAAAGAUGUGGAUUCAUAUUUCAAAUGGGGUAGCUGCCAAAAGCCAAUUUUCUGGGUUGUUGAAAAGGGUGACAAAUGGCAAUGUAAGUUGACUUCAGAUGCUCAGCUUAGUGACCUGGUAAGUUCAUUCGAUCUGGUGAAGUUAUUUAUGACAAUGGGAAGAUGUAAGGAGGGAGAGGAGACACUGCAUGUUGUGACCGAUGUGGUGGGCAAGGAGAUGCUAGCUGCAGCAUAUCCGGUGGGCAAGGAGAUUGAUGUAGACAAUAUUGUCUAUGAAGAGAUGCAUGUAGAUGAGGUGAUUGGCACAACAAACAAUGGAGAGGAGGGUAUGCAUGAAGACAUGGACAAGCAACCAGAAUGGAGAGAAGUGCCUGAAUAUGGUCAAACAACUGCAGGGGCACCAGUGGCUCAAGAAGAGGAAAAAGAACACUUUAUGACAGCUGGGUGUGAUCCUGAUGGAGAUGAGCCGAUAGGAGCAAAUGAAGAAUGGAGAUACUUCAAAUUUGUUGAUGGUAAAAAUGUUCAACCAGUGAAUCCAGUGGAUGUUCAGACAAGAAGGAGGGCAAGGGCUAUUCCAGAAUUUGAUUUAGAAAGUGUCCCUGAUGAUGAGGCCGGUUUGGUAGAUGAUUAUGUUGUGCCCCAUACAACAUAUGACCAUGAGAAUCCAGUAAUCAAAGAGGGAGACACAUUUGAAGACAAGGUUGAAUUUCUUUGAUCUGGAAGAGUCUUGCCCGGGAAGGAUUACAAAGACCUUCCAGUUGUUGAUCUGAUGGAUAAAAUUAGAGAGAAGAUCAUGGAAAAGAUUGCCACAAGGCAAGAUAUUGCCAAUAGACUUGAAGGCCAUAUCCUUCCAAGUGUGCUACAUGAGCUGAACAUGAAAAGUAGAGGGCUUAAUUAUGAUUUUAGCAAAAGUGGGUUACUAGCAGCCGAGAUUUCUGGAACAACAAAUGAAGGGAAGACAUGGAGGUAUGGUGUUGACCUUAACAAAAGAACUUGUGGCUGUGGACAAUGGGAGGUGUCUGGAAAACCAUGCACUCAUGCUAUCUUUUCACUUGGAAAAUUUAGACAGAAAGAGUUAAAAAUCGAGGAUUUUGUGGAUGAUUACUACUCAGUAGAGAGGUUUAAACUUGCUUAUCAAUUUGAGGUCAUUCCAAUGGGUGACAAAUCUCAAUGGCCAAAGAAUGACCCUGGUUUUGAAAUGGUCCCUCCACCAUUAGAAAGGCCUGCUGGGAGACCAAGGAAGCAGAGAAUUAAGGCUAGUGGAGAGCCAGGAAAAAGAGGUCCAUAUCUGAUAGUCACCUAGAGGGGGGGUGAAUAGGGCGAAACUGAAAUUUACAAAUAUAAACACAACUACAUGCCGGGUUAGCGUUAGAAAUAAAAACGAGUCCGCGAGAGAGGGUGCAAAACAAAUCUCAAGCAAAUAAGAAGUGAGACACACGGAUUUGUUUUACCGAGGUUCGGUUCUCGCAAACCUACUCCCCGUUGAGGAGGCCACAAAGGCCGGGUCUUUUUCAACCCUUUCCCUCUCUCAAACGGUCCCUCGGACCGAGUGAGCUUCUCUUCUCGAAUCACUUGGGAAUCAAACUUCCCGCAAGGACCACCACACAAUUGGUGUCUCUUGCCUCAAUUACAAGUGAGUGUUUGAUCUCAAGAAAGAAUGCCAAAGAAAAGAAGCGAUCCAAGCGCAAGAGCUCAAAUGAACACUACAAAUCACUCUCUCUAGUCACUAAGGCUUUGUGUGGAGUUGGGAGAGGAUUUGAUCUCUUUUGGUGUGCUUUGCAAUGAAUGCUAGCUCUUGUAUAGUGGUUGGAAGCUGGAAAACUUGGAUGCAAUGAAUGGUGGGGUGGUUGGGGUAUUUAUAGCCCCAACCACCAAACAUGACCGUUGGUGGAGGUUGUCUGUCGUAUGGUGCACCGGACAGUCCGGUGUACACCGGACAUGUCCGGUGUGCCAGCCACGUCACCAAUGCCGUUGGGAUUCGACCGUUGGAGCUUCUGUCUUUUGGGCCCGCCUGGAUGUCCGGUGCACACCGGACAUGUACUGUUCAAUGUCUGGUGUGCCAGUAUGGGCGUGCCUGACUUCUGCGCGCUUCUGGCGCGCAUUGAAUGCGCCUGCAGGUGACCGUUGGCGCGAAGUAGUCGUUGCUCUGCUGGUUCAUCGGAUAGUCCGGUGUACACCGGACAGUCCGGUGAAUUAUAGUGGAGCAGCCGCUGCGUUUUCCCGAGGCUGGCGAGUUCCGGAGGCCGCUCUUCCUUGGAGCACCGGACACUGUCCGGUGUACACCGGACAGUCCGGUGAAUUAUAGCGGAGUGCCUCUGGAAAUUCCCGAAGGUGGCAAGUUCGAGUUGGAGUCCUCUGGUGCACCGGACAUUGUCCGGUGGUGCACCGGACACUGUCCGGUGUACACCGGACAGUCCGGUGCCCCAGACCAGAGGUGCCUUCGGUUGUCCCUUUUGCUCUUUUGUUGAAUCCAAUACUUGAUCUUUUUAUUGGCUAGGUGUGAACCUUUUACACCUGUAAAACUUAUACACUAGAGCAAACUAGUUAGUCCAAUUAUUUGUGUUGGGCAAUUUAACCACCAAAAUUAUUUAGGAACUAGGUGUAAGCCUAAUUCCCUUUCAAUCUCCCCCUUUUUGGUGAUUGAUGCCAACACAAACCAAAGCAAGUAUAGAAAUGUAUAAUUGAACUAGUUUGCAUAAUAUAAGUGCAAAGGUUGCUUGGAAUUGAGCCAAUAUUAAUACUUACAAGAUAUGCAUGGAUCGUUUCUUUAUUUUUAACAUUUUGGACCACGCUUGCACCACAUGUUUCGUUUUUGCAAACUAUUUUGUAAAUCCUUUUCAAAGUUCUUUUGCAAAAAGUCAAAGGUAAAUGAAUAAGAUUUUGCAAAGCAUUUUCAAGAUUUGAAAUUUUCUCCCCCUGUUUCAAAUGCUUUUCCUUUGACUAAACAAAACUCCCCCUAAAUGAGAUCCUCCUCUUAGUGUUCAAGAGGGUUUUGAUAUAUCAUUUUUGAAACACUACUUUCUCCCCCUUUUGAACACAAUAGGACACCAAAUGAAAAUACUCUUUGAAAAACUAAGUUUUUGAAAUUGGUGGUGGUGCGGUCCUUUUGCUUUGGGGGGCUCAUACUCUCUCCCCCUUUGGCAUGAAUCGCCAAAAACGGAAUCAUUAGAGCCCUCGAAGUACUUUCUUCCCCUUUGGUCAUAAAUAAAUGAGUUAAGAUUGUACCAAAGACGAAGUCCUUUUGCUCUCUCCCCCCAAAGAUGGAGAGUGGCUUGGAGCGACAACGAAGGAUGAGUUACGGAGUGGAAGCCUUUGUCUUCGCCGAAGACUCCAAUUUCCUUUCAAUACAUCUAUGACUUGGUUUGAAAUAGACUUGAAAGCACAUUAGUCAUAGCAUAUGAAAGAGAUAUGAUCAAAGGUAUAUAAAUGAGCUAUGUGUGCAAUUUUAGCAAAAGAAAUUGCGCGAAUCAAGAAUAUUGAGCUCAUGCCUAAGUUUGUUAAAAGAUUGUUCAUCAAGAGGCUUGUUAAAGAUAUCGGCUAAUUGAUCUUUAGUAUUAAUGUAAGAAAUUUAGAUAUCUCCCUUUUGUUGGUGAUCCCUUAAAAAGUGAUACCGAAUGGCUAUGUGCUUAGUGCGGCUAUGCUCGACGGGAUUAUCCGCCAUCUUGAUUGCACUCUCAUUAUCACAUAGCAAAGGGACUUUGGUUAAUUUGUAACCGUAGUCCCGCAGGGUUUGCCUCAUCCAAAGCAAUUGCGCGCAACAAUGGCCUGCGACAAUAUACUCGGCUUCGGCGGUAGAAAGAGCAACCAAAUUUUGCUUCUUUGAAGCCCAAUACACCAAGGAUCUUCCCAAGAACUGGCAAGUCCCCGAUGUGCUCUUCCUAUUGAUUUUACACCCCGCCCAAUCGGCAUCCGAAUAACCAAUCAAAUCAAAUGUGGAUCCCCUAGGAUACCAAAGCCCAAACUUAGGAGUAUAAGCCAAAUAUCUCAAGAUUCGUUUUACGGCCGUAAGGUGAGCUUCCUUAGGGUCUGCAUGGAAUCUUGCACAUAUGCAUACGGAAAGCAUAAUAUCCGGUCGAGAUGCACAUAAAUAGAGUAAAGAACCUAUCAUCGACCGGCAUACCUUUUGAUCCACGGACUUACCUCCCGUGUCGAGGUCGAGAUGCCCAUUAGUUCCCAUGGGUGUCUUGAUGGGUUUGGCAUCCUUCAUUCCAAACUUGCUUAGGAUAUCUUAAGUGUACUUCGUUGGCUUAGGAAGGUGCCUUCUUGGAGUUGCUUUACUUGAAAUCCUAAGAAAUACUUCAACUCCCCCAUCAUAGACAUCUCGAACUUUUGUGUCAUGAUCCUACUAAAUUCUUCACAUGUAGACUCGUUAGUAGACCCAAAUAUAAUAUCAUCAACAUAAAUUUGGCAUACAAACAAGUCAUUUUCAAGAGUUUUAGUGAAUAAAGUAGGAUCGGCCUUUCCGACUUUGAAGCCAUUAGCGAUAAGGAAAUCUCUAAGGCAUUCAUACCAUGCUCUUGGGGCUUGCUUGAGCCCAUAAAGCGCCUUAGAGAGCUUAUAGACAUGGUUAGGGUACUCACUAUCUUCAAAGCCGGGAGGUUGCUCAACAUAGACCUCUUCCUUGAUUGGUCCAUUGAGGAAGACACUUUUCACGUCCAUUUGAUAAAGCUUAAAGCCAUGGUAAGUAGCAUAGGCUAAUAAUAUGCGAAUUGACUCAAGCCUAGCUACGGGUGCAUAGGUUUCACCGAAAUCCAAACCUUCGACUUGGGAGUAUCCCUUGGCCACAAGUCGAGCUUUGUUCCUUGUCACCACACCAUGCUCAUCUUGCUUGUUGCGGAAGACCCAUUUGGUUCCUACAACAUUUUGAUUAGGACGUGGAACUAAAUGCCAUACCUCAUUCCUAGUGAAGUUGUUGAGCUCCUCUUGCAUCGCCACCACCCAAUCCGAAUCUUGAAGUGCUUCGUCUACCCUGUGUGGCUCAAUAGAGGAAACAAAAGAGUAAUGCUCACAAAAAUGUGCAACACGAGAUCUAGUAGUUACCCCCUUAUGAAUGUCGCCGAGGAUGGUGUCGACGGGGUGAUCUCGUUGGAUUGUUUGGUGGACUCUUGGGUGUGGCGGCCUUUGCCCUUCACCCUCCUUGUCUUGAUCAUUUGCAUCUCCCCCCUUGAUCAUUGUCGUCAUCUUGAGGUGGCUCAUUUGCUUGAUCUUCUACUUCAUCAACUUGAGCUUCAUCCUCAAUUUGAGUUGGUGGAGAUGCUUGCGUGGAGGAGGAUGGUUGAUCUUGUGCAUUUGGAGACUCUUCAGAUUCCUUAGGGCAUACAUCCCCAAUGGACAUGUUCCUUAGUGCGAUGCAUGGAGCCUCUUCAAUACCUAUCUCAUCAAGAUCAACUUGCUCUACUUGAGAGCCGUUAGUCUCAUCAAACACAACGUCACAAGAAACUUCAACUUGUCCAGAGGACUUGUUAAAGACUCUAUAUGCCCUUGUGUUUGAAUCAUACCCUAGUAAAAAGCCUUCUACAGUCUUAGGAGCAAAUUUAGAUUUUCUACCUCUUUUAACAAGAAUAAAGCAUUUGCUACCAAAGACUCUAAAAUAUGAAAUGUUGGGCUUUUUACCGGUUAGGAGUUCAUAGGAUGUCUUCUUGAGGAUUCGGUGUAGAUACAACCGGUUGAUGGCGUAGCAAGCGAUGUUGACCGCCUCCACCCAAAACCGAUCCGAAGUCUUGUACUCAUCAAGCAUGGUUCUAGCCAUGUCCAAUAGAGUUCGAUUCUUCCUCUCCACCACACCAUUUUGUUGAGGGGUGUAGGGAGAAGAGAACUCAUGCUUGAUGCCCUCCUCCUCAAGGAAGCCUUCGAUUUGAGAGUUCUUGAACUCCGUCCCGUUGUCGCUUCUAAUUUUCUUGAUCCUUAAGCCGAACUCAUUUUGAGCUCGUCUUAAGAAUCCCUUUAAGGUUUCUUGGGUUUGAGAUUUUUCCUGCAAAAAGAAUACCCAAGUGAAGCGAGAAUAAUCAUCCACUAUUACAAGACAAUACUUACUCCCACCGAUGCUUAUGUAAACAGUCGGGCCGAAUAGAUCCAUGUGGAGUAGCUCAAGCGGCCUGUCGGUCGUCAUGAUGUUCUUGUGUGGAUGAUGGGCACCAACUUGCUUCCCUGCUUGGCAUGCGCUACAAAUCCUGUCUUUCUCAAAAUGAACAUUGGUUAGUCCUAAAAUGUGCUCUCCCUUUAGAAGCUUAUGAAGAUUCUUCAUCCCAACAUGGGCUAGUCGGCGGUGCCAGAGCCAACCCAUGUUAGUCUUAGCAAUUAAGCAUGUGUCGAGUUCAGCUCUAUCAAAAUCUACUAAGUAUAGCUGACCCUCUAACACACCCUUAAAUGCUAUUGAAUCAUCACUUCUUCUAAAGACAGUGACACCUACAUCAGUAAAGAGACAGUUGUAGCCCAUUUUGCAUAAUUGAGAUACAGAAAGCAAAUUGUAAUCUAAAGAAUCUACAAGAAAAACAUUGGAAAUAGAAUGGUCAGGAGAUAUAGCAAUUUUACCCAAUCCUUUGACCAAACAUUGAUUUCCAUCCCCGAAUGUGAUAGCUCGUUGGGGAUCUUGGUUUUUCUCGUAGGAGGAGAACAUCUUCUUCUCCCCUGUCAUAUGGUUUGUGCACCCGCUGUCGAGUAUCCAACUUGAGCCCCCGGAUGCAUAAACCUACAAAACAAUUUUAGUUCUUGACUUUAGGUACCCAAACGGUUUUGGGUCCUUUGGCAUUAGAAACAAGAACUUUGGGUACCCAAACACAAGUCUUGGAGCCCUUGUGUUUGCCCCCAACAAACUUGGCAACUACUUUGCCGGAUUUGUUAGUCAAAACAUAAGAAGCAUCAAAAGUUUUAAAUGAAAGACUAUGUUCAUUUGAUGCACUAGGAGUUUUCUUCUUAGGCAACUUAGCACGGGUUGGUUGCCUAGAGCUAGAUGUCUCACCCUUAUACAUAAAAGCAUGGUUAGGGCCAGAGUGAGACUUCCUAGAAUGAAUUCUCCUAAUUUUGUCCUCGGGAUAACCGGCAGGGUAUAAAAUGUAACCCUCGUUAUCCUGAGGCAUGGGAGCCUUGCCCUUAACAAAGUUAGACAAUCUUUUAGGAGGGGCAUUAAGUUUGACAUUGUCUCCCCUUUGGAAGCCAAUGCCAUCCUUGAUGCCAGGGCGUCUCCCACUAUAGAGCAUACUUCUAGCAAAUUUAAAAUUUUCAUUUUCUAAGUUAUGCUCGGUAAUCUUAGCAUCUAGUUUUGCUAUAUGAUCAUUUUGUUGUUUAAUUAAAGUCAUGUGAUCAUGAAUAGCAUCAAUAUCAAUAUCUCUACAUCUAGUGCAAAUAGAAGUGUGCUCAAUGGUAGAUUUAGAUGGUUUGCAAGAUUUUAAUUCUACAACCUUAGCAUGUAACAUGUCAUUCUUAGUUCUAAGGUCGGAAAUAGUAGUAUUGUAAACAUCAAAAUCUUUAGCCUUAGCAAGUAAUUUCUCGUUUUCAAUCCUAAGGCUAGCAAGAGAAAUGUUCAAUUCUUCAAUCCUAGCAAGUAAAUCAUCAUCAUUAUUUCUAGAAUUGGUAAUUGAAACAUUACAAACAUGAGAAUCAACCUUAGCUGUCAAAUUAGCAUUUUCAUUUCUAAGGUUGUCUAUUGUCUCAUGGCAAGUGCUUAGCUUACUAGACAAUUUUUCACAUUUCUCAAUUUCAAGAGCGUAAGCAUUUUUAACCUUAACAUGUUUCUUAUUUUCCUUAAUUAGGAAGUCCUCUUGAGAAUCCAAAAGGUCAUCCUUUUCAUGAAUAGCACUAAUUAAUUCAUUUAAUUUUUCCUUUUGUUCCUUGUUAAGGUUGGCAAAAAGGGUACGCAAAUUAUCUUCCUCAUCACUAGCAAUAUCAUCACUAGAAGACUCAUAUUUAGUGGAGGAUUUAGAUUUAACCUUUUUCUUUUUGUCGUCCUUUGCCAUGAGGCACUUGUGGCCGACGUUGGGGAAGAGGAGUCCCUUUGUGACGGCGAUGUUGGCGGCGUCCUCGUCGUCGGAGGAGUCCCUAGAGCUUUCGUCGGAGUCCCACUCCCGACAAACAUGGGCAUCGCCGCCCUUCGUCUUGUAGUACCUCUUCUUCUCCUUUCUUCUCCCCUUCUUGUCGUCGCCCCUGUCACUAUCACUUGAUAAUGGACAUUUAGCUAUAAAGUGACCGGGCUUACCACACUUGUAGCAAACCUUCUUGGAGCGGGACUUAUAGUCUUUCCCCCGCCUUUGCUUGAGGAUUUGGCGAAAGCUUUUGAUGACAAGCGCCAUUUCCUCGUUGUCGAGCUUGGAGGUGUCGAUGGGUGUUCUACUUGAUGUAGGCUCCUCCUUCUUUUCCUCCGUCGCCUUGAAUGCGACGGGUUGAGCUUCGGACGUGGAGGGAUCAUCAAGCUCGUUGAUCUUCCUCGAGCCUUCGAUCAUGCACUCAAAACUUACAAAAUUCCCGAUUACUUCCUCGGGAGUCAUUAGUGUAUAUCUAGGGUUGCCACGAAUUAAUUGAACGUGAGUAGGGUUAAGAAAAAUAAGUGAUCUUAAAAUAACCUUAACCAUUUCGUGGUCAUCCCAUUUCUUGCUACCGAGGUUGCGCACUUGAUUCACCAAGGUCUUGAGCCGGUUGUACAUGUUUUGUGGCUCCUCCCCUUUGCGAAGCCGGAACCGACCGAGCUCCCCCUCGAUCGUCUCCCGCUUGGUGAUUUUUGUGAGCUCAUCUCCUUCGUGUGCGGUUUUGAGUACAUCCCAAACCUCCUUGGCGCUCUUCAACCCUUGCACUUUGUUAUACUCCUCUCUACUUAGAGAGGCGAGGAGUAUUGUUGUUGCUUGAGAGUUGAAGUGCUCGAUUUGGGCCACCUCAUCCUCAUCAUAGUCUUCAUCCCCUACGGAUGGUACCUGUGCACCAAACUCAACAACAUCCCAUAUACUUUUGUGGAGUGAGGUUAGAUGAAAUCGCAUUAAAUCACUCCACCUAGCAUAAUCCUCACCAUCAAAUGUUGGUGGUUUGCCUAAUGGGACGGAAAGUAAAGGUGUAUGUUUAGAAAUGCGAGGGUAGCGUAGGGGAAUCUUACUAUACUUCUUGCGCUCUUGGCGCUUAGAAGUGACGGACGACGCGUUGGAGCCGGAGGUGGAUGUUGAUGAAGAGUCGGUCUCGUAGUAGACCACUUUCCUCAUCUUCUUUUUCUUGUCCCCACUCCGACGAGGCUUGUGAGAAGAGGAUUUUUCCUUCUUCUCUUUGUGUGAAGGAGAUUUCUUCUCCUUCCCUUUGGAGGAGUCCUUCUUCUUAUCCUUCCCUUUUAAGGAGUCUUUCUUCUCCUUUCUCUUGGUGCGGGACUCUUCCGAUGAAGCGCUCCCGUGGCUUGUAGUGGGCUUUUCGCCGGUCUCCAUCUCCUUCUUGGCGUGAUCUCCCGACAUCACUUCGAGCGGUUAGGUUCUAAUGAAGAACCGGGCUCUGAUACCAAUUGAUAGUCGCCUAGAGGGGGGGUGAAUAGGGCGAAACUGAAAUUUACAAAUAUAAACACAACUACAAGCCGAGUUAGCGUUAGAAAUAAAAACGAGUCCGCGAGAGAGGGUGCAAAACAAAUCUCAAGCAAAUAAGAAGUGAGACACACAGAUUUGUUUUACCGAGGUUCGGUUCUCGCAAACCUACUCCCCGUUGAGGAGGCCACAAAGGCCGGGUCUUUUUCAACCAUUUCCCUCUCUCAAACGGUCCCUCGGACCGAGUGAGCUUCUCUUCUCGAAUCACUUGGGAAUCAAACUUCCCGCAAGGACCACCACACAAUUGGUGUCUCUUGCCUCAAUUACAAGUGAGUGUUUGAUCUCAAGAAAGAAUGCCAAAGAAAAGAAGCGAUCCAAGCGCAAGAGCUCAAAUGAACACUACAAAUCACUCUCUCUAGUCACUAAGGCUUUGUGUGGAGUUGGGAGAGGAUUUGAUCUCUUUUGGUGUGCUUUGCAAUGAAUGCUAGCUCUUGUAUAGUGUUGGAAGCUGGAAAACUUGGAUGCAAUGAAUGGUGGGGUGGUUGGGGUAUUUAUAGCCCCAACCACCAAACAUGACCGUUGGUGGAGGCUGUCUGUCGUAUGGUGCACCGGACAGUCCGAUGUGCCAGCCACGUCACCAAUGUCGUUGGGAUUCGACUGUUGGAGCUUCUGUCUUCUGGGCCCGCCUGGAUGUCCGGUGCACACCGGACAUGUACUGUCCAAUGUCUGGUGCGCCAGUAUGGGCGUGCCUGACUUCUGCGCGCUUCUGGCGCGCAUUGAAUGCGCCUGCAGGUGAUCGUUGGCGCGAAGUAGCCGUUGCUCUACUGGUUCACCGGACAGUCCGGUGUACACCGGACAGUCCGGUGAAUUAUAGUGGAGCAGCCACUGCGUUUUCCCGAGGCUGGCGAGUUCCGGAGGCCGCUCUUCCUUGGAGCACCGGACAUUGUCCGGUGUACACCGGGCAGUCCGGUGAAUUAUAGCGGAGUGCCUCUGGAAAUUCCCGAAGGUGGCAAGUUCGAGUUGGAGUCCUCUGGUGCACCGGACAUUGUCCGGUGGUGCACCGGACACUGUCCGGUGCCCCAGACCAGAGGUGCCUUCGGUUGUCCCUUUUGCUCCUUUGUUGAAUCCAAUACUUGAUCUUUUUAUUGGCUAGGUGUGAACCUUUUACACCUGUAAAACUUAUACACUAGAGCAAACUAGUUAGUCCAAUUAUUUGUGUUGGACAAUUUAACCACCAAAAUUAUUUAGGAACUAGGUGUAAGCCUAAUUCCCUUUCAAUAUCAAUGUAAAAGGUGCUUCAAGUUUGGACAUAUAGAGAAGGGAUGCAAUGCAACUCAAGCUGAACUAGAGCAGGAGCUUCCACCACCUCGUCCAAAAAAACAAAAAAACAAAGGUCGGUAAUAUACUAGUAUUCCAUGCCUCGUGAUGCAAUCUGCUCCUUUACUGAUCCUAUUUAUGUCUUGUAGCAAAACCAAAUCCGAAGCUUAUGAAAACUCCACAAAAGGUGCUGAGCCAUCAAACAUUGAUGUUGAUCCAAAACUAACUUCAAGCCCAGGUGUUACGACAAGAAGGAUGGCGUUCCUCUCUCCGGCAAGAGCAAGUCCAUGUGUUACCACAAGGAGGAUGGCGUCCCUGUCUCCAACCAGUCCGGGUGUGACAACAAGAAGGAUCGCAUUUAUCUCACCUGGAGGAAUCAACCGCAGGCUUAUCAUUGAUUAGUUGUAUUAGUGCAAUGUUAGCAUGUACUGUAACUUAGUUUAUGGCAUGCUCCAUCGCUAGCUUUUGGGCAUUUGUCUAGUUACCAUGUGAACUAGGGUCUCUGUGAACUAUGAACAGCUUGUAGUCUUAUGCCAAGUCGUUAUGCAUGGACAAAAUUAGUAUUAUAUCAUAUUUUAAUGUGUUUAUGGCCUCUUUGAUCUGUUAUAUUCUACGUUGGAAGGGGCAAGGGCAUUUGUGUCCUAUUUAACUGUGAUUUAACGGAUGUGGUGAGCCUCAAAAGAAUGCAAUCUUUUAAUGGUAUACAGCAAAGAAGGGAUCUUUUAAUGGUAUAUUGCCAAACAUGUGUUCUUUUAAUGGUACACAGCCAAUUCUCCCUCUUUUGAGCUCUUGCGCUUGGAUUGCCUUUCUUCUUCCUCUAUUCUUGUGUUCAACUCACUUGUAAUCAAAACAAGAGACACCAAGUUGUGGUGGUCCUUGUAGUGGACUUAGUGUCCCAUUUGAUUGAAGAGAAAGGCUCACUCGGUCUAAGUGACCGUUUGAGAGAGGGAAAGGGUUGAAAGAGACCCGGUCCUUGUGACCACCUCAACGGGGAGUAGGUUUGCAAGAACCGAACCUCGGUAAAACAAAUCACCGUGUUCAUCCGCUUUAUUUCUUUGUUGAUUUGUUUUUCCUCUCUUUCGGACUCGAUUAUAUUUCUAACGCUAACCCCGGCUUGUAGUUGUGCUUAAACUUUAUAAAUUUCAGAUUUGCCUAUUCACCCCCCCUCUAGGAGACUUUCAAUUGGUAUCAGAGCCCGGUACUUCAUUAGAGCCUAACUGCUCGAAGUGAUGUCGGGAGCAUCCGCCAUGAGGGAGAUCGGGACCGGCGACAAGUCCGCAAGCUCGGGAAGAACACAUUCAAGGGAGUCCGCCCACAAGCACAAGGAGGAAUCCUCUUCCUCCAUCAAGUCCCAAUGGAAGGGUGACAAGAAGAAGAUGAUGAAGAAAGUGGUCUACUACGAGACCGACUCUUCGCCACCCUCCACCUCCGGCUCGAAAUCGGCAUCUGCCACUUCUAAGCGCCAUGAGCGCAAGAAGUAUAGUAAGAUGCCCCUUCGCUACCCUCGUAUGUCAAAACGCACUCCAUUACUUUUUGUCCCAUUAGGCAAACCACCUAUGUUUGAUGGUGAAGAUUAUUCUAUGUGGAGUGAUAAAAUGAGGCAUCACCUAACCUCACUCCACAAAAGCAUAUGGGAUAUUGUUGAGUAUGGAGCGCUGGUACCAAAGAAGGGGGACAAGGAUUACGAUUCGGAGGAGGUCGAACAAAUCCAACACUUCAACUCCCAAGCCACUACUAUACUCCUCGUCUCUCUAAGUCGAGAGGAGUAUAAUAAGGUGCAAGGGUUGAAGAGUGCAAAGGAGAUUUGGGACGUGCUCAAGACCGCGCACGAAGGAGACGAGGUGACCAAGAUCACCAAGAGGGAAACGAUCGAAGGGGAGCUCGGUCGCUUCAUGCUUCAUCAAGGGGAGGAGCCACAGGCAAUGUACAACCGGCUCAAGACCUUGGUGAACCAAGUGCGCAACCUCGGGAGCACCAAAUGGGAUGACCAUGAAAUGGUCAAGGUUAUUCUAAGAUCACUUGUAUUUCUUAAUCCUACUCAAGUUCAAUUAAUUCGUGGUGAUCCUAGACAUAAACUAUUGUCUCCCAAGGAAGUGAUAGGAAAAUUUGUGAGCUUUGAAUUGAUGAUCAAAGGCUCCAAGAAAAUCAUCGAGCAAGGCGCCACCUCAACACCCAAGGUGCAACCCGUCGCAUUCAAGGCGACGGAAGAAGAAAAGAAGGACUCUACACCAAGUAGGAUCCCCAUCGACGCCUCCAAGCUCGACAACGAGGAAAUGGCGCUCAUCAUCAAGAGCUUUCGCCAAAUCCUCAAGCAAAGGAAGGGAAGAGAUUACAAGCCCCGUUCCAAGAAGGUUUGCUACAAGUGUGGUAAGCCCGGUCAAUUUAUAGCAAAUAUCCUAUUUCUAGUGACAGGGGCGACGACAAAAAGGGAAGAAGGAAGGAGAAGAAGAAGUAUUACAAGAAGAAGGGCGGCGAUGCCCAUGUUUGCCGGGAGUGGGACUCCGACGAGAGCUCCACCGACUCCUCCGACGAGGACGCCGCAAACAUCACCGUCAACAAGGGUCUUCUCUUCCCCAACGUCGGCCACAAGUGCCUCAUGGCAAAAGACGACAAGAAGAAGAAGGUAAAAUCAAGAUCCUCCACUAAGUAUACAACUACUAGUGAUGAUGAUAAUUCUAGUGAUGAUGAGGAUAACUUGCUUACUCUUUUUGCCAAUCUUAACAUGCAACAAAAAGAAAAAUUAAAUGAAUUGAUUAGUGCUAUUCAUGAGAAGGAUGAACUCUUGGAUAGCCAAGAGGACUUCCUAAUUAAAGAAAAUAAAAAGCAUGUUAAGGUUAAAAAUGCUUAUGCUCUAGAGGUAGAAAAAUGUGAAAAAAUAACUAGUGAGCUAAGUUCUUGUCAUGAUACUAUUUCCAACCUUAGGAAUGAAAAUGAGAAAUUAAUUGCUAAGGUUGAGAGUUCAAAUGUUUGUGAUGAUUCAAUUGUUAGUCUUAAGAAUGAUAAUGCUAAAUUAAUUGCUAAGAUUGACAAAUUGGAUGCAUCCCCCUCUAGCCUUAAAAUUGAGAAUGAAAAAUUAAUUGCUAAGGCUAAAGAUUUAAACGUUUGCAAUGUUUCUAUUUCUAAUCUUAGAGAUGAAAAUGCUAUUUUACAUGCUAAGAUUGUUGAAUUAAAUGCUUGCAAACCCUCUACAUCUACCAUUGAGCAUGUUACUAUUUGUACUAGAUGUAGAGAUAUUAAUAUUGAUGCUAUUCAUGAUCACCUAGCUUUAAUUAAACAACAAAAUGAUCACAUAGCUCAACUUAGUGCUAAGAUUAAUGAGCAUGACUUAGAAAAUGAAAAAUUUAAAUUUGCUAGAAGCAUGCUCUAUAGUGGGAGACGCCUUGACAUUAAGGAUGGCAUCGACUUCCAACAGGGAGACAAUGUCAAGCUUAAUGCUCCUCCUAAAAGAUUGUCUAAUUUUGUUAAGGGCAAAGCUCCCAUGCCUCAGGAUAACGAGGGCUAUAUUUUAUAUCCUGCUGGUUAUCCUGAGGAUAAGAUUAGGAGAAUUCAUGCAAAGAAGACUCAUUCUCACCAUGCUUUUAUUUAUAAGAAUGAGGCUUCUAGCUCUAGGCGUUCCACACAUGUUAAAAUGCCUAAGAAGAAAACUCCUAUUGCAUCAAAUGAUCAUAACAUUUCAUUCAAGACUUUUGAUGCUUCCUAUGUGCUCACUAACAAAUCAGGCAAAGUAGUUGCCAAAUAUGUUGGGGGUAAACACAAGGGGUCAAAGACUUGUGUUUGGGUACCCAAGGUGUUUGUUUCUAAUGUAAAAGGACCCAAGACUGUUUGGGUACCUAAGAACAAGGCCUAAAUUUGUUUUGUAGGUUUAUGCAUCCGGGGGCUCAAGUUGGAUUAUUGAUAGCGGGUGCACAAACCACAUGACUGGGGAGAAAAGAAUGUUCUCCUCCUACGAGAAAAACCAUGAUCCCCAAAGAGCUAUCACAUUCGGGGAUGGAAAUCAAGGUUUGGUCAAAGGACUUGGUAAAAUUGCUAUAUCACCUGACCAUUCUAUUUCCAAUGUUUUUCUUGUAGAUUCUUUAGAUUACAAUUUGCUUUCUGUUUCUUAAUUAUGUAAAAUGGGCUACAACGGUCUUUUUACAGAUUUAGGUGUUACUGUCUUUAGAAGAAGUGAUGAUUCAGUAGCAUUUAAGGGAGUGUUAGAGGGUCAGCUAUACUUAGUUGAUUUUAAUAGAGCUAAACUCGACACUUGCUUAAUUGCGAAGACUAACAUGGGUUGGCUCUGGCAUCGCCGACUAGCCCAUGUUGGAAUGAAGAAUCUUCAUAAGCUUCUAAAGGGAGAGCACAUUUUGGGACUAACCAAUGUUUAUUUUGAGAAAGAUAGGGUUUGUAGCGCAUGUCAAGCAGGGAAGCAAGUUGGUGUUCAUCAUCCACACAAGAACAUCAUGACGACUGACAGGCCGUUUGAGGUACUCCACAUGGACCUAUUCGGCCCGAUCGCUUACAUAAGCAUCGGCGGGAGUAAGUACUGUCUAGUUAUUGUGGAUGAUUAUGCUCGCUUCACUUGGGUGUUCUGUGUGCAGGAAAAAUCUCAAACCCAAGAGACCUUAAAGGGAUUCUUGAGAUGGGCUCAAAAUGAGUUCGGCUUAAGGAUAAAAAAGAUUAGAAGCGACAACGGAACGGAGUUCAAGAACUCACAAAUAGAAGGCUUUCUUGAGGAGGAGGGCAUCAAGCAUGAGUUCUCUUCUCCCUACACGCCACAACAAAAUGGUGUAGUGGAGAGGAAGAAUAGAACUCUUUUGGACAUGGCGAGGACCAUGCUUGAUGAGUACAAGACUUCGGACCGGUUUUGGGCGGAAGCAAUCAACACUGCUUGCUACGCUAUCAACCGCCUCUACCUUCACCGAAUCCUCAAGAAGACAUCUUAUGAACUCCUAACCGGUAGAAAGCCCAAUGUUUCAUAUUUUAGAGUCUUUGGUAGUAAAUGCUUUAUUCUUGUUAAAAGAGGUAGAAAAUAUAAAUUUGCUCCUAAGGUUGUAGAAGGCUUUUUACAUGGUUAUGAUUCAAACACAAGGGCAUAUAGAGUCUUUAACAAGUCCUCUGGACUAGUUGAAGUUUCUGAUGACAUUGUGUUUGAUGAGACUAACGGCUCUCAAGUAGAGCAAGUUGAUCUUGAUGAGCUAGAUGAUGAAGAGGCUCUGAGCGUCGCGCUAAGGAACAUGUCCAUUGGGGAUGUGUGUCCUAAGGAAUCCGAAGAGCCUCCACAAGCACAAGAUCAACCAUCUUCCUCCAUGCAAGCAUCUCCACCAACUCAAGAUGAGGAUCAAGCUCAAGAUGAUGAAAAUGAAGAUCAAGAGGAGCCACCUCAAGAGGAGGACAAUGAUCAAGGGGGAGAUGCUAAUGACCAAGACAAGGAAGAUGAUGACGGUUCAAGACAGCCACACCCAAGAGUCCACCAAGCAAUACAACUAGAUCACCCCGUGAACUCCAUCCUCGGCGAUAUUCAUAAGGGGGUAACCACUCGAUCUCGUGUUGCUCAUUUUUGUGAACAUUACUCCUUUGUGUCUUCUAUUGAGCCAUACAGGGUGGAAGACGCAUUAAGAGAUUCGGAUUGGGUGUUGGCGAUGUAAGAGGAGCUCAACAACUUCAAGAGGAAUGAGGUAUGGCAUUUAGUUCCACAUCCUAACCAAAAUGUUGUAGGAACCAAGUGGGUCUUCCGCAACAAGAAAGAUGAGCAUGGUGUGGUGACAAGGAACAAAGCCCGACUUGUGGCCAAGGGAUAUUCACAAGUCGAAGGUUUGGAUUUCGGUGAAACCUAUGCACCCAUAGCUAGGCUUGAGUCAAUUUGCAUUUUACUUGCCUAUGCUACUUACCAUGGCUUCAAGCUUUAUCAAAUGGACGUGAAGAGUGCCUUCCUCAAUGGACCAAUCAAGGAGGAAGUCUAUGUUGAGCAACCUCCCGGCUUUGAAGAUAGUGAGUAACCUAACCAUGUGUAUAAACUCUCUAAGGCGCUUUAUGGGCUCAAGCAAGCCCCAAGAGCAUGGUAUGAAUGCCUAAGAGAUUUUCUUAUAGCUAAUGGCUUCAAAGUCGGAAAAGCCGAUCCUACUCUCUUUACUAAAACAAUUGCUAAUGAUUUGUUUGUAUGCCAAAUUUAUGCUGAUGAUAUUAUAUUUGGGUCUACUAACAAAUCUACUUGUGAAGAGUUUAGUAGGAUAAUGGUUCAAAAAUUCGAGAUGUCAAUGAUGGGAGAGUUGAAGUAUUUCUUAGGAUUUCAAGUCAAGCAACUCCAAGAAGGCACCUUCAUUAGUCAAACGAAGUACAUUCAAGACAUACUCACCAAGUUUGGAAUGAAGGAUGCCAAACCCAUCAAGACACCCAUGAGAACCAAUGGGCAUAUCGACCUCGACACGGGAGGUAAAUCCGUAGAUCAAAAGGUAUACCGGUCGAUGAUAGGUUCUUUACUCUAUUUAUGUGCUUCACGACCGAAUAUUAUGCUUUCUGUAUGCAUGUGUGCAAGAUUCCAAGCCGAUCCAAAGGAAGUUCACCUUAGGGCCGUGAAACGAAUCUUGAGAUAUUUAGUUUAUACUCCUAAGUUUGGCAUUUGGUACCCCAGGAGAUCCACUUUUGAUUUAAUUGGUUAUUCAGAUGCUGAUUGGGCAGGGUGUAAGAUUGAUAGAAAGAGCACAUUAGGGACUUGGCAGUUCUUAGGAAGAUCUCUGGUGUCUUGGGCUUCUAAGAAACAAAAUUCUGUAGCUCUUUCUACCGUCGAAGCCGAGUAUAUUGUCGUAGGCCAUUGUUGCGCGCAAUUGCUUUGGAUGAGGCAAACCCUUAGGGACUAUGGUUACAAAUUAACCAAAGUUCCUCUCCUAUGUGAUAAUGAGAGUGCAAUCCGCAUGGUGGAUAAUCCCGUUGAGCACAGCCGCACUAAGCACAUAGCCAUUCGGUAUCACUUUUUGAGGGAUCACCAACAACGGGGAGAUAUCGAGAUUGCUUACAUUAAAACCAAAGAUCAAUUAGCCGAUAUCUUUACCAAGCCAUUAGAUGAGAAUUUUUUUACCAAACUUAGGCAUGAGCUAAAUAUUCUUGAUUCUAGGAAUUUUGAUUGAUAUUUUGCACACAUAGCUCAUUUAUAUACCUUGAUCAUAUCUCUUUCAUGUUCUAUGACUAAUGUGUUUUCAAGUGAAUAUUAUGCUAAGUCAUAGAUUGAAAGGGAAAUGGAGUCCUCGGCGAAGACAAAAGGCUUCCACUCCACUCUAUCGAUAUUCAUCCUUCACUGUCGCUCCACAACGCUCUCCAAUUUGGUAUAAUCUUCACUCCUAUAUUAUUUACCAAAGGGGGAGAAAGUUUGAAAAAAGGCUUAUAUUUCACUCACAAGUAUUCGUUUUUGGCGAUUCAUGCCAAAGGGGGAGAAAAUAUUAGCCCAAAGCAAAAGGGUCGCACCACCACCAAUUUCAAAAAUUUGUAGUCUUUUAAUUUGUAUUAAAGAAGUGUUUUUAAAGAUUUUCAAAUUGGUAUCUUAUUUUUGAUAUAAUUUCAAAUUGGUAUACCCUCUUCAAAAUUAAUAUCUAAAACCCUCUUGAACACUAAGAGGAGGAUUUCAUUAAGGGGGAGUUUCGUUUAGUUAAAGGAAAAGCAUUUGAAAUAGGGGGAGAAAAUUUCAAAUCUUGAAAAUGCUUCUCAAAAUCUUAUUCAUAUACCUUUGACUAUUUGUAAAAGAUUUUGAAAAAGAAUUUCCAAAACUUUGCAAAACAAAACAAGUGGUGCAAGCGUGGUCCAAAAUUUUAAUAAGAUGAAAGCCAUCCAUGCAUAUCUAGUAGAAAUAAUUAUUGGUUUUAUUCCAAGCAACCUUUGCACUUACCUUAUGCAAACUAGUUCAAUUCUGCACUUUUAUAUUUGCUUUGGUUUGUGUUGGCAUCAAUCACCAAAAAGGGGGAUAUUGAAAGGGAAAUAGGCUUACACCUUUUCCUAUAUGAAUUUUGGUGGUUGAAUUGUCCAACACAAAUUAAUUGGACUAACUAGUUUGCUCUAGAUUAUGAGUUCUACAGGUGCCAAAGGUUCAACACAAAUCAAUAAAAGUCCAAGAAAGGGUUCAAAUAAAAAGAGCAAAAGACAACCCAAAGGCUGCCCUGGUCUGGCGCACCGGACAGUGUUCGGUGCACCAGAGAGUUCCACUCCGAACUUGCCACUUUCGGGAAUUAGGGGAGGCCGCUCCGCUAUAAUUCACCGGACUGUCCGGUGUAGCACCGGACUGUCCUGUGUGUCAAGCGGAGCAACGGUCGUCCACGCCAACGGUCGUCUGCAACGCUACAGUGAAACACUAUAGUGCGCGUCUGUGCGCAGAAGUCAGAGCAGACGCAGAAGGCGCACCGGACAAUGAAUAGUGACUGUCCAGUGCACCACCGGACUGUCCGGUGGCCCCGUUGUCAGAAGCUCCAACUGUCGGAACCCAACGGCCUGGUGACGUGGCUGGCGCACCGAGCAAUGUCCGGUGGCGCACCGGACUGUCCGGUGCGCCAUACGACAGAGGCCCUCACCAACGGUUCUUUUGGUGGUUGGGGCUAUAAAUACCCCCAACCACCACACUUCAAUGCAUCCAAAUUUUCAGCCUUCAAACCUCAUACAAGAGCUCUAGACUUCAUUCCAAGACACAAACAAAGAGAUCAAAUCCCCUCCCAAGUCCGGAAUCACUCCAAACAAAUUAGUGAUUAGAGAGAGAGACUUUUGUGUUCUUUUGAGAUCUUGCGCUUGGAUUGCUUUUCUUCUUCCUCUAUUCUUGUGUUCAACUCACUUGUAAUCAAAACAAGAGACACCAAGUUGUGGUGGUCCUUGUAGUGGACUUAGUGUCCCAUUUGAUUGAAGAGAAAGGCUCACUCGGUCUAAGUGACCGUUUGAGAGAGGGAAAGGGUUGAAAGAGACCCGGUCUUUGUGACCACCUCAACGGGGAGUAGGUUUGCAAGAACCGAACCUCGGUAAAACAAAUCACCGUGUUCAUCCGCUUUAUUUCUUUGUUGAUUUGUUUUUCCUCUCUUUCGGACUCGAUUAUAUUUCUAACGCUAACCUCGACUUGUAGUUGUGCUUAAACUUUAUAAAUUUCAGAUUUGCCUAUUCACCCACCUCUAGGCGAAUUUCAAAGACGCACACGGAAGGUCUUGAUAAUGACUUGCAGGUGACGAAUGAAAAGAUGGGGCAAUUGGAGGCCAUACAGAUCGACACAAACACCAAACUUGCAAAUGUGGAAAUGACAGUUGCUCAUAUUGACAAGAGCCUUGUCGCACUCUUGAGGCAAUUUGAUGAGAUGCAUGCUAAUACCAAUGGUGGGCGUGAUGAGGGCGCCGAAGGUAACUGGGAUGACUAUGUUGCUGAUACUGAACAAGAUGACCAAGAAGCACCUAAUCGCCGGCGACUAUGUACUAACCGCAGAGGUAUGGGUGGUUUUCACCGACGUGAGGUACAUGGUAAUGAUGAUGCUUUUAGUAAGGUUAAAUUUAAAAUACCUCCUUUUGAUGGUAAAUAUGACCCUGAUGCUUACAUUACUUGGGAGAUUGCGGUUGAUCAAAAGUUCGCAUGUCAUGAAUUUCCUGAGAAUGCGUGGGUUAGAGCUGCUACUAGUGAGUUUACUGAAUUUGCUUCUGUUUGGUGGAUAGAACACGGUAAGAAGAAUCCUACUAACAUGCCACAAACUUGGGAUGCGUUGAAAUGGGUCAUGCGGGCUAGAUUUGUUCCUUCUUAUUAUGCACGUGAUAUGUUAAACAAGCUGCAACAAUUGAGACAGGGUACUAAAAGUGUAGAAGACCAUUAUCAGGAAUUACAAAUGGGUAUGUUGCGUUGUAACAUAGAGGAGAGUGAGGAAUCUGCUAUGGCUAGAUUUUUGGGCGGGUUAAAUAGGGAAAUUCAGGAUAUCCUUGCUUAUAAAGAUUAUGCUAACGUAACUCGAUUGUUUCAUCUUGCUUUCAAAGCUGAAAGGGAAGUGCAGGGACGACGUGCUAGUGCAAGGUCUAAUGUUUAUGCAGGAAAAUCUACACCAUGGCAGCAGCGCACGACUACGUCCAUGACCGGCCGUCACCAGCACCAACUCCCUCGCCGAGUCGACCAGCACCACCGCCUUCCUUCGGCGACAAUCCACGUGCAUCUUCCACAAAUUCAGCAACCAAAUCUGCCCAGAAACCAGCAGGUAGUGCCUCUUCAGUAGCCUCCACGGGUAGAACAAGAGAUGUUCUAUGUUAUCGAUGCAAGGGCUAUGGACACAUGCAGCGUGAUUGUCCUAAUCAGUGUGUUUUGGUGGUAAAAUACGAUGGUGGGUAUUCCUCUGCUAGUGAUUUGGAUGAAGCUACACUUGCUUUGCUUGUGGCUGAUGAUGCAGGCACUAAGGAACCACCCGAAGAAUAGAUUGGUGCAAAUGAUGCAGAGCAUUAUGAGAGCCUCAUUGUACAGCGUGUGCUUAGUGCACAAAUGGAGAAGGCAGAGCAGAAUCAGUGACAUACGUUGUUUCAAACAAAGUGUGUCAUUAAGAAGCGUUCAUGUCGUUUGAUCAUUGAUGGAGGUAGCUGCAACAACUUGGCUAGCAGCGACAUGGUGGAGAAGCUUGCACUUACGACCAAACCGCACCCGCAUCCAUAUCACAUUCAAUGGCUUAACAAUAGUGGUAAGGUCAAGGUAACCAAGCUGGUACAAAUUAAGUUUGCUAUUGGUUCAUAUCAUGAUGUUGUUGACUGUGACGUUGUGCCUAUGGAUGCUUGUAAUAUUCUGCUAGGUAGACCAUGGCAAUUUGAUUCAGAUUGUAUGCAUCAUGGCAGAUCAAAUCAAUAUUCUCUCAUACACCAUGAUAAGAAAAUUAUUUUGCUUCCCAUGUCCCCUGAGGCUAUUGUGCGUGAUGAUGUUGCUAAAGCUACCAAAGCUAAAACUGAGAACAACAAGAAUAUUAAAGCUGUUGGUAAUAACAAAGAUGGGAUAAAAUUGAAAGGACAUUGCUUGCUUGCGACCAAAUCUGAUGUUAAUGAAUUAUUUGCUUCCACUUCUGUUGCCUACGCCUUGGUAUGCAAGGAUGCUUUGAUUUCAAUUCAAGAUAUGCAACAUUCUUUGCCUCCUGUUGUUGCUAACAUUUUGCAGGAGUAUUCUGAUGUAUUUCCAAGUGAGAUACCAGAGGGGCUGCCACCUAUAUGAGAGAUUGAGCACCAAAUUGAUCUUAUUCCUGGUGCAUCUUUGCCAAAUCGUGCGCCAUAUAGGACAAAUCCGGAGGAAACAAAAGAAACUCAGCGACAAGUGCAAGAACUACUCGACAAAGGUUACGUGCAUGAGUCUCUUAGUCCGUGUGCUGUUCCGGUUAUUUUAGUGCCUAAAAAAGAUGGAACAUGGCGUAUGUGUGUUGAUUGUAGAGCUAUUAAUAAUAUCACGAUACGGUAUCGACACCCUAUUCCACGUUUAGAUGAUAUGCUUGAUGAAUUGAGUGGUGCUAACGUGUUUUCUAAAGUUGAUUUGCGUAGUGGGUACCACCAGAUUCGUAUGAAAUUGGGAGAUGAAUGGAAAACUGCUUUCAAAACUAAGUUCGGAUUGUAUGAGUGGUGAGUCAUGCCUUUCGGGUUAACUAAUGCACCUAGCACAUUCAUGAGAUUAAUGAACGAAGUUUUGCAUGCCUUCAUUGGAAAAAUUGUGGUAGUAUACUUUGAUGACAUAUUGAUCUACAACAAAUCUAUGGAUGAACAUGUUGAUCACAUGCGUGCUGUUUUUAAUGCUUUACGAGAUGCACGUUUAUUUGGUAACCUUGAGAAGUGCACAUUUUGCACCGAUCGAGUGUCGUUUCUUGGUUAUGUUGUGACUCCACAGGGAAUUGAGGUUGAUCAAGCCAAGGUAGAAGCGAUACAUGGAUGGCCUAUGCCAAAGACUAUCACACAGGUGCGGAGUUUCCUAGGACUUGCUGGCUUCUAUCGCCAUUUUGUGAAGGACUUUAGUACCAUUGCUGCACCUUUGAAUGAGCUUACGAAGAAGGGAGUGCAUUUUAGUUGGGGCAAAGUACAACAGCACUCUUUCAACGUGCUGAAAGAUAAGUUGACACAUGCACCUUUCCUCCAACUUCCUGAUUUUAAUAAGACUUUUAAGCUUGAAUGUGAUGCUAGUGGAAUUGGAUUGGGUGGUGUUUUGUUACAAGAAGGCAAACCUGUUGCAUAUUGUAGUGAAAAAUUGAGUGGACCCGUUCUAAAUUAUUCUACUUAUGAUAAGGAAUUAUAUGCUCUUGUGCGAACAUUAGUAACAUGGCAGCAUUAUUUAUGGCCCAAAGAGUUUGUUAUUCAUUCUGAUCAUGAAUCUUUGAAACGUAUUCGUAGUCAAGGAAAACUGAACCGUAGACAUGCUAAGUGGGUUGAAUUUAUCGAAUCUUUUCCUUAUGUUAUUAAGCAUAAGAAAGGAAAAGAGAAUAUUAUUGCUGACGCUUUGUCUAGGAGAUAUACUUUGCUGAAUCAAUUUGACUACAAAAUCUUUGGAUUAGAGACAAUUAAAGACCAAUAUGUUCAUGAUGCUGAUUUUAAAGAUGUGUUGCUGCAUUGUAAAGAUGGGAAAGGAUGGAACAAAUAUAUUGUUAGUGAUGGGUUUGUGUUUAGAACUAACAAGCUAUGCAUUCCAGCUAGCUCCGUUCGUUUGUUGUUGUUAUAGGAAGCACAUUGAGGUGGCUUAAUGGGACAUUUUGGAGCAAAUAAAAUGGAGGACAUACUUGCUGGUCAUUUCUUUUGGUCCAAGAUGAGAAGAGAUGUGGCGAGAUUGGUUGCUCGUUGCACGACAUGUCAAAAGGCGAAGUCACGGUUAAAUCCACACGGUUUGUAUUUGCCUCUACCCGUUCCUAGUGCUCCUUGGGAAGAUAUUUCUAUGGAUUUUGUGUUGGGAUUGCCUAGUACUAGGAAGGGACGUGAUAGUGUGUUGUUUGUGGUUGUUGAUAGAUUUUCUAAGAUGGCACAUUUCAUACCAUGUCAUAAAACUGACGAUGCUACUCAUAUUGCUGAUUUGUUCUUUCGUGAAAUUGUUCGCUUGAAUGGUGUGCCCAACACAAUCGUUUCUGAUCGUGAUGCUAAAUUUCUUAGUCAUUUUUGGAGGACUUUGUGGGCAAAAUUGGGGACUAAGCUUUUAUUUUCUACUACAUGUCAUCCCCAAACUGAUGGUCAAACUGAAGUUGUGAAUAGAACUUUGUCUACUAUGUUAAGGGUUGUUCUAAAGAAGAAUAUUAAGAUGUGGGAGGACUGUUUGCCUCAUGUUGAAUUUGCUUAUAAUCGAUCAUUGGAUUCUACUACAAAGAUGUGCCCAUUUUAGAUUGUAUAUGGUUUGUUGCCUCGUGCUCCUAUUGAUUUAAUGCCUUUGCCAUCUUCUGAAAAACUAAACUUUGAUGCUACUAGGCGUGCUGAAUUGAUGUUAAAACUGCAUGAAUGCUAGAUAUAAGUUUGCUAGUGAUAAAGGUAGAAAGGAAUUAAAUUUUGAACCUGGAGAUUUAGUUUGGUUGCAUUUGAGAAAGGAAAGGUUUCCUGAAUUGCGAAAAUCUAAAUUGUUGCCUCGAGCCGAUGGACCGUUUAAAGUGCUAGAGAAAAUUAACGACAAUGCAUAUACGCUAGAUCUGCCUACAGACUUUGGGGUUAGCCCCACAUUUAACAUUGCAGAUUUAAAGCCCUACUUGGGAGAGGAAGUUGAGCUUGAGUCGAGGACGACUCAAAUGCAAGAAGGGGAGAAUGAUGAAGACAUCCACACUACUGAUACAUCUAUGCUAAUACAAGUACCAAUUUCUGGUCCCAUUACUCGCGCUCGUGCUCGUCAACUCAACCAUCAGGUGAUUACACUCUUGAGUUCAUGUCCAUCAUAUUUAGACCAUGGAGACCCAUGCACUCUUGUUUUGCUUAGGAACCAGGGAGAAGACCGAAAGGGAAAAGGAUUUGAACAUGCUGGAUUCGGACUGCAGAAGAACACCAACUUGUAACGGUCACCACGGUCACAUGCGGGCUCGGAUUGGAAUGUUCAAGCACAACAUGGAAAGCUUAUCAAGUCUACUUUCAUAUGGAUCCGUAAUUAUAGUCAUAUCUAUUCUGAGGCCGCUAUAAUCAUUGUUUCCUUACCGAGACAUUUCCUGCCUUUUCUGCCCAUGGUGCUGCGUCACCCUAUUUUGGCCCAAUGGGUCGUGUAUCAAGUUGGGUCCAUUAGGGUCGCAUCCUAGGGUUGCAGCACGGCCCCAAUACCCUUGUGGUCAUCCUCCCAUGUUUAUAAACCCCCUAGCCGCCACCAAGAACAACGGGUUUUGUUUAGAUCAAGUUUAGCUCUCGCUACUUGCUUGUAAGCGCGCGUGCUGGUUCAGCCGCCCGUCUUCUUGUCUUCGGAACCCCACCAUAUUGGAGUUUGAUUGUUAAACCUACAUUUACAUCUGGUAAUUCAGUACUUGUCCUACUUGUUCUUGCUAGUUCUUCGAUUGCUUGCAGGACAAGUGCCCUAGUGGCCGCGGUGUCACGCUCCACAAGAUCGUGACAGCCAUAGGAGGUGGUGUAUCGGUUGCUAAGGCGCAACGUCUUUGGAAGACUGUAGUCGGGCCGUGAACGUCGUCUCCUCCACCAAUCGAGUUAUCCCACACCCUCUCAUCGAAAGAUCGAGCAUUCACCCAAUGGGUGCACAUCACCUUAACUCUACCUCCUCCACAACAAGAGACAUGGGAGCCUCUCCUCCCUCUCUUGCUCGCUUGUAACCCCUAAUACAAGCAUUGAUUAGCAAAGGUGGCGGUAGCGCAAGCCGCCAAAGACUGGAUGUAGGGACGUUCUGCCUAAAUCAGUAUAAAUCUUGCGCCCACCGUGCACACCGUCUGAAGCCCGGAAUGCACACACAAAUAUACUUGUCAGAGCUAGGUUCGAAACAUCGAUAGAUAGCGCCUUGGUUUGAGUCGGUUGGACUAACUACAACAUGAGGUUGUUGGUGCAACAUGUCUUUUGGCUUAUUGUGCGCAGGUGUGGAGUCUAAAGACAGUGGUCGACGAUGAAGGUGAAGGUCAUGCAGGUUCGUAUCGAUGGACUGAGAGCGGCGAAGGACGAGCACUGAGUCUUAAACGAGAGACUAAAGAAGUUGAAUGGCUAGCCAUGGUGGAUGACACCUGGGGACACUAAUAGGCACGAGGUCAUGGAGGAGCAGAUCGUGUCGCCAACGUAGUUGUGGACUGACAGGACACGAGUCCAGGACGUGGGGGACGCGUAUGGAGUACACUACCUGCGGGGUUUGGUGGUUGAGCCUCAAAACCACCCAACACGAUAGUUCACGGGUUUGGACCUCAAAACCCAGUGGCAUAGUUUCUGAAGGGAAUCAGAGGUUGUACGUGGUGUCACCGUGAAGGAUUCGUCAAUGCAAAGCAAUUUCGUGAAGACUGCAUGGCCAUUAGAUCAAAGUUCCAAGAGUUAGUCCAUUUCACUUCUGGCUGAGUGAAUAGACUCUAUAUAUUUUGGGAUAGUUUAGGAAAGAGAAAUAACCCUCUAUAAAUAGGAGGGGAGGGCUGAACCAUUCAGCCAUCUCUUUUAGCACUUACAUUUCCCUUGGUUUGUAAUCUUUCUCUCUCAUUUUAGCUAGGUGAUCCUUAGAUGUUUUUGAACCACGACAUCUAAGUCUAUUUAUUUUUGAGGAAGUGUGGCCGUAACCACACUUAGUUCUCGUGGUGUUUCAUUUUGUGUCAAAGUUGUUGGUAUUGGAUUUUUAGUUGCUUAUUCUCUUCUCAACCCCUCUAGUUUGAUUUUUUAGUAGAUCCUUGCCUUUGAGAGAGGUUUGGGGGAUAAUAUCUGGAUUAGAAAUUGUCCUCGUAUUAUUGCAAAUUUUUUGAUCCAUUUCGUGGACAUGUUUCUAAUAGAUUUGCUUAUUUGACAAAACCCCAACUAAAACUAAGUCAAGUUCGGGUUUUUUGAUAUGCUAUUGAAGUUUAAACCCGUUUGAGCUCAAAUUUUGUGGACACCUUAGAAAAUCAUCUGUAAAGGUGUGAAAAUUUUCAGCCCCGUCGAAGUCCAUUUCUUUUGAUUUUGUGUUCGAAAAUUGAAUUUCGAGCUGUUGAAAACAACAUUAGAAAGCGCUAUGGUUUUGGGCCAUUUCGAACUUUUUGGUGUUUGUUUUGUGAUCCGUUUGAUUCGUUGGUCUUGUGUGAGUCCUAUGAACAUGAUUAAAACAUGAAAUCACUGGUUUGUUGAUGUGUUUUUUGGUUUGAACAAUUUCUUUAUUUCCAUUGAAAUUAAAUACUUAAUUUUAAGUUUUGAAAGACUAAAUUUUGUUGAGUCUCAUUCACCCUCUUUGGUCGCCUAUUCAAUCAUUCAAUCCAGAGGGUCACAAUUUCUAUUAAGCGGCACUCUGUGACCCCAUGCAAUGAUCAUAGAAUACAGUGGCAAGUGUGGUUAGGGUGCCUAGUUAGGUUUUGUUCGGUUGGGUCUGGAUUGAGGGGAAUUGAAGGGGAUUAAAUCUCCUCCUAGUCAAAAUUGAAUGGAAGGAGAUUUAAUCAUCUCCAAUCCAUAACUAAUCGAACAAGCCCAUAGGCGUAGUUUGGAUACUUUAGUAUUGACUUCAAUCCACAUGUCCUGAGGUGGAUUGGAGUGUAAUUUAAACUAAUUUACACCUCAAUCAAAUUUAACAUGUGGAUUGUGAUGAAUACUAUAGUACCAAACAAAGCAUUAGGGUUUCUAUUCGUGUAUACCCCUAAUUAGUUGGUAUGCUGCCUUCUAGUAAGGGGUAAAAAAGGGAUUCAAAAAAUACAGAAGCAAAAACAAUAAUUUAUUCUCAUUUUCACUCCCGCAAUAUACCAUUCCCGAAUGAAAGAAAAAACAAAUUCCUUUCUUUUUUAUCCCUACUAACGGCCGACCAUCGGAUUUGGUCUCCACCUCAAGUCUCUGCGAGAGUUCCUGCCAUCCUCUCAAACUUACGGACACAACACCUAUAAAAAUUCUUCACCGUCGCCCUUCGCAACUCACCCCACAAAGCAAUAACCCGGCCCUCUCCUUUCGUCACCAUCACAUCCAGCCAGCCAACAAAAAUGUCGCGCGUCACAGCUGCGGUGCUCUUUUACAUCCUCGCCGUUGCUGCCCUCAGCGCGGCCGAGGCCCCGGCAGAGUCACCGAAGGAAGGCAGUGCUGCCAAGGCACCUGAGGCUGCCAAGAGAACUGCUGCCCCCGCUGAAGCACCCGGAGCCGCGUCCACCCCCGUCGCCGCCGCUGCCCCAUCAUCGUCGUCUAGGAAGUCUGGUCCAGCUACCGCGCCAGCCACCGCCUCUACACCCCCUUCUUCCACGGACGAGGAGUUGAGCCCUUCCCCGCCAGCAUCCACCGCCGCGGCGUCCCCUGCGGCUGAGGGACCGGCUGCUGAUGACUCCGCCGGUGCUGCUGCCCUUGGAAGUGGAGCUGCCAUCGCCGGCGUUGCCGCUGCUGUUGCUACCAUGAUCUUCUUCUACUAAACUCACCGACGAUGGUCGUGUCGCGGUGAGACAUUAGGGUGGACACGUAAUUGGCUGUGCUGUAAUCGCUCUCGUCUGGUGGGGAGGGAGGGACCAAGUGUUUCUUUGCUUUGCUCACUUCGUUUGCUCUUGUAACAUUAUGGGGUCAACCGUUAUGUAACUAAUGGAUUUGAUUAAUCUGGUCUCUAACUCUCUAUCUGUCUAUCAUGCAUGUUUAUAUUCUAAUAUCUUACUGAUUUUACAUGUUUGCUUAACCGGAUCUUUAUAUCAUAAACAA
RNAcentral lists this long non-coding RNA (38007 nucleotides) under Zea mays. Its description in RNAcentral is "long non-coding RNA (ZMAY_LNC003935)". Lineage: Eukaryota; Viridiplantae; Streptophyta; Magnoliopsida; Poales; Poaceae. The record is from RNAcentral.